AUGGGAAAGAAGGGGAAAAAAGGGUUAAGAAACUUGGCUGAAGAGCUGAAUGGCGUCGAGCGGCGAGGGGAGGGACUGGGCCGCGGCGGACUCAGCGGCGGAGGGAGGAGCGCGGCUGCGGGCGGGCGGCGAGCGAGGCGCUCAAAGUCAGCCUCGCAGACAUUGCAGCAGAGCCCCGAACUCGGGAGGCGGCGGCGGCGGCGGCGGAGGAGGAGGCGGCGGCCGAGGCGGAGGGACGACCCGGCCCCACGCCCGCCCGCGCGCCCGCACGCCCGCCCGUGGCCUCGCGUCCGCCGCUGCGCUCGGCAGUGCUGCCGGUCGGAGGCAAGAGCUCGCUGGGGCGCCGAGGGAGGACGGGGCGGUGGGGCGCCUUCGCGGAGUGAGCCUGCCGGAGCCCCGGGCUCGGAGCCGCGGCGGCCUCGGAGUGUUUGGAUUGUGAGCAAUUUAAGCUCUAUCCUCAGGAUCCAUUAUUUUAACAUUUGGGAGAAACACAUCCAGAAGGUUUCUCACAGUCCCGGGAGUGCUGGUAAGAGUGGUAGCAGGAAGGGUUCCUUAUGCUUCAAGGCCUUGUCAGCAGAUACCAGCCAGCUCCUCUGAAGAUAUUUACUUUUACUCUUGUCAGGAAUUGGUCGUUUUCUUUGGUGAAUAUGCCUGUUUAGAGAC
Molecule: long non-coding RNA, 663 nt
Filed under: Balaenoptera musculus (blue whale)
Lineage: Eukaryota; Metazoa; Chordata; Mammalia; Artiodactyla; Balaenopteridae
Description: lncRNA (ENSBMSG00010016878.1)
Source: RNAcentral